UAUAAAAAAAUAGUCUGGUAAGAAAAAUAGAGCGUUAGCGAUCAUCUGUUAUCGGAACUAGCAAUAUGGAUCCUAACUCAUUAGCUCUUAAGCUAGCCAACUUGUAUAGGUGUUUCAGUACUAAUUCCCAUUUGAGAGAGAAUUUAAACUUGUUUGUUGAAUUAAUCCAACACAUUGACGCUGAAGCAAUAGUCCAUUGCAUUGAUAUAUUACACCCUAUGUUCCUAAACACGUUGAAUGAUUCCCUGGUUAAUCUAGACGUGAAGAUCACUGCCCUGACGGCGAUGAGUAACUUCAUUCAACAGGUGGGGAGUUCAAAAGAUAGGGAGAGGUUUCAGGAUCUGUUGCCUGCGAUGAUGGACAUGCUGAAUAAGGCAUUGGAAGAAAAUUGGGAGGCAUCAGCUCAGUCUGAGUUGGAGAUUUUGAUUGAGUUGGCCAAGAAUGAGCCUAGUUUCUUCAGGGUGCAGCUUGUGGUUGUGGUGGGUUCCAUGUUUGAUAUAGCUGAAUGUGAGAGUUAUGAAAAGAAAACGAGACAUUUGGCGGUUGAAUUCGUGAUGACAUUGGUUGAGGCCAGGGAGAAGACCCCUGGCAUGAUCAAGAAGUAUCCAUUGUUUACUGAAAAAUAUAUUGCAAUUUUAUUGAAUUUGUUAGAGCAUGAGGUUUAUUACCCUCUCUUGCCUGAUCCUUAUGAUAGAUGGGAUAUAAAUGAUGAUUUGCCUUUUCUUAAGAAGUGUUUAUGGCGGUUGUCCCAUGCGCUGGGUGGUAAGACUGUUGGUCCUGUUGCCUUUGAGCAGGUCCGUGCUUACUUGGCUGACGACUCGUGGCAGAAGCCAUGCGCAGCACUCUAUGCACUUGCUCAGAUUGUUGAAGGCUGCUCAGAGGUGUGUAUUUAUUGAUACACUACUAAGAAUUGCAUUUAAACUGAUUAGUUAACGAUCUUGGGAUAGCAGAAGGUCACCUUGAUUAUACUUUCUUCUGUUAUUCUCUAGACUAAGUACUUUGCUUGCUCUCAUCUCUUCUUCAUUAUAAUAGGUGAUGAUUAAGAAUAUGAAUCUAGUGGUGACAAUGGUUCUGGAUUGUAUGGGACAUCCUCAUCCUGGAGUCAGAUUCACCUCCAUGGAAGCAGUUCGCGAGUUUUUGAGUUUCAUGUGUCCCCAUUUUCAAGAACAAUAUCAUCAGCAAGUAGUGCCGGCAUUAAUUAAAGCUAUGGAUGAUGACAGUGUACAAGUGCAGGUCUGUUUGUCCUACGAUGAUAUGAAUUCCUUUGGAUGCUAGUAUCAUUUGUCCCAAAUUACAGUUGCAAAAUUUUCUUACUGAACCUUCUCAAUGGCCUUAACUUUAACUUUAUUAGAUAUAAUCCCUGCUCUAACUUUACUAUCUUCAUAUUUUCCUAGGUCAGCGUCAUAUGCGCGGUCACGGGCUUCCUUCGCGAUGACACACCUAAAUAUUUGACACUUUACAUCCAUGGAUUACUCGAUAAAUUGUUUCAACUGUCAUUACAUACUGUUGCGCUAGUACGUAUUGUAGACUAAGUGCAAGAGAAAUCAGAUCAUUUUCUUGAACAAUGAACAGACAAUAUUACGAAUACAUCAAGGGAAACAACCAUAAUUUCCAAGUUCCCAAUAUAAUUAUCCCGCCCUCCUUUAUAAAUUCAAAGUUUGUUACUCCCUUGAAUGUCCUUGAGGUCUUUACUUGCCUGAUUUAUUUUUAUUUUUGACAUGAAAGGUCCAAGAAUCAGCGUCAGCUGUACUCCAAUUUUUGGCUGACCAUUUUAAGGUAUUACCUAGUAAUUCUGCUUCAACUUUUAUUAAGAGUAUGUUGUAUUAAGCUGGUUAUAUAUAUAUAUAUAUAUAUAUUAAUAUUAACAUUACUUCAGCAAGAGUGCUAUGGGAACAACUACGAAUCUAUUCUACCACUUUUUAAAGCUAUCCUGGUACAAGCAAAUUUUCCAAGUAAAGAUGUAGAGAUGAUGAUGUCAUUCCUCAAACCUGGCCGUUCGUUACUUCCAAAACAGGUCUUCCACUAGUUAUACCAAAUGGAUUCUAUACAUCUCACUCAACUUAGAGCUUAUUGUUUAUUCGUUUUCUAUUUUUCUGUUGUUGACAUAAUGUCACUAUAAGAUUAUGGAAGCAGUUAUGUCAUUACAAGGAUCACAAGAGUUUGAUGAGGAUACAAAUACCAUCUUCAAGCUAGAGGUAUGUGUUGUUGAGAAUAUCGUUAACUAAUAAAAUGGUGUUCUCUCUAAUAGCUUAAGCUUUUAGAUGAGAUGGUCACACACUUCAACAUGUUAUCAGAACAGGCAGAGGCCCUGGGAUCAAAUCUCUUCGCCACCCAAAUUAAAAAGAAUUUCCACGUGCUAAUCAGUCAGAAAUUCUUUCAAGAUUGGUCUCUCUAUAUUUCUUGAUCUCAUUGCAGGCUAUUGGUGGAUUUUGUAAGGCCAUAGGGAAAGGUUUUCUUCCUUGCACCAGCAUUGUCAUGCCCCUUUUGUUGCAAUGUGCUCAACUCGAACCUGAUAAAAUCAUAUUAUCUCCAGAUUCAGACCAUACUUGUUUAGAUGAUAAUACGUACGCCUUUUUGUCAUGACGUUUCGCCUUUUUGUCAGAUCAUUGCUCUGAGUGAUUGCCUUUUUAUGUACAUUAUAACAUCUUGCAGUAUACACAGAGUCAAGGUUGGCGAUUCAACGAUAUGUAUAAAAAAAAGUUCCCUAAAGAAGAAAGCUAAAGCAUGUGAAGUCCUAGUCAUUGUUGCUAACAAAUUGAACAAAGACUUUUACCCAUGGAUUUUCCAGGUUGUCACACUUGGACUUCUCUCUUUUUCUACCCGUGCUUUUGAUCGCGAACUGAAAAUUUAACAAGUGGUUUCAAUGGCCUAAUGCUUGAUAAAUGAUACAGACUGCUUCAAUUUUAUUUCCACUUUUGAAAUUCCAUUUCAAUGAGGUCAGGUUCCAUACAGUUGAAGGUGAGAUUUCUCAGGAUUUCACAUAGUUAAUUUCUCCGUCUUUUAUAACUAUCUGAUCACCGCCAAGACUUUUUAAUUUGUAAUGUUUAUAGCGAUGAAGCACCUUUUGCAAUCUGCUAAACUGGCUGAUGAGAAAGGGAUUGCUCGAGGUGAAAGCCAUUCGGAUUUCAAGCAGUUUUCGGACAGUAUAAUACUGAAUUUGGUGGAAGCUUUGCAUGAGGUUUACUUUUAACAUUAAGCUUCUUCUAUUUGGAUAAUGAGAAAGUAACACUUUGAUUUCUAUAUAAUGCAGGAGCCUAAAACACUGCUUAUUUGUUUUGAAACAGAGAUAUAUGUAGAAAUGUUGAAUACAUUACAUGUGUGCCUUCAGGUUCGUGAUCUUUAAACACUGCUUAUUUGUUUUGAUCCAAAGUUUUCAGUGUUUCACUAUGAGCUAGGUAUGAAGUUUUUGGAACUGUUGCCUUUAAGUCUAUUGCUUAAAAUGUUCCAUUAGUAUCAUCGAAGUGAGAAACUAGCAAUGGUGACAAAAAUCGAGUUAGAAUGGCAAAAUAGGAAUUUUCAGGUUGUAUAUGGUCCUUGUGUUUCUUCUUUCAGAUAUGUGGACCACUUCUCAAUGAAGAUCAGCUUCGUCCGAUCGUGGAUGAGAUAAAGCAUGUCAUUACAGAGAGUUCAAAUAGCCAAGGAAAACUCACAGAGAGAGAAAAAACAGAAGAUUUUGAUGCUGAGGAAGCUGAAUUGCUGAGAGGGGAAAAACAUCGACAAGAUCAAAUAUUUAAACUUGUAUGUUCUAUAUUAAAACAGUGAUUCACUGUUGUCUUUAUAUAUUCAAGAAUUUUCACUUUGGUUCUGCUGUUAUUCUUGAACACAGGCUGGUCUCAUAUUAUGUAGACUGAUCGAAACAUUCAAGGUUGUUUUCUUGCCUUACUUUGACGAGUUAUCAUUAUAUCUGAUUCCGAUGUGGGUAAGUUCAUUGACACUAUUGUAACAUGAUGUUAGUUUAUCAUUAUUCAUAUCUAGUAUAUCUUAUUGUUUCCGAUUUUUGUUAAGGACAAAGAAAUGACAAUUCAAGAGAGAUGUACAUCACUUUAUAUCUUUGAUGGUCUUGUGAAGCAUUGCUCUGAAGCAGCUCUAAAGUGAGUUUAAUUUAUCUGUAUGAGUUUUCUUAAAUUAUUGGGGUGUCACCAUUUUGAUAAAUCACUUACUUCCUAUGCCAACUAGGUACUGUGAUGUAUUUCUACCUUUGCUUCUGAAAUCAAGCAACGACGAAAACCCAGCAGUUAGACAGGUUUGGAUCAUCGUGAUUGCUUACAUUCCUGUUACUCAAGUUGGUUGCUCACAGUAUGGUUUAACCAAAACACCAAUGACUUCAUGUUCAGAAUGCUCUAUAUGGACUUGGGCUUUAUGCAGAAUAUCAUGGUUCUGUUUUCAAACCUUUUGUUAGAGGUAUUAAUAUUAUUGAAUGUGAUACUUCUAAUCAAGCAAGUGUUUUUGUUAACUUACGCGUUUAUGUUCAGAGGCUAUGUCACGGAUCAAUGUAGUGAUAAUGCAUUUACGUGCUCGUGAACCUGAGAAUGAACUUGCAUAUGAUAAUGCUGUUUCUACCCUUGGUAAAAUAUUUCAGUUUCAUCGAGAACUUAUCGACUCAGCCCAGGUUUGUCCUUCUCAGAAUCCCUAAUGUUAAGUCUUGUUAUAAUUUCUGAUUCUGAAUCCUUGUGUAGGUCAUUCCCAUUUGGUUGAAUUGCCUGCCUAUAAAAGGUGACCUUCCUGAAGCCAAAUAUGUUCAUGGUCAACUAUGUUCCAUGGUUGAAAGGUAUUGGAUUUGUUUGCAAACUCUAAUAUGUCAUAUCUUCAUAGUCUUUAAAAUGUUUUAUAUCAAAUUUUUUCACUUGCAGGUCAGACAGAGAACUUUUAGGUCCCAAAUAUGAACACUUUCCAAAAAUUAUGUCAGUUUUUGCAGAGGUUAGUUCCAUAUCAGACUCUACAGAUGCCAGUUUGAGUUGUUCAUUUGUUCCUGAUAGAUAUUUAAGGAGAGAAGUAUUGGAAAUAUUCCUAAACUAGGUGUGAAUUAUUAGUUUUAUCUUCGAACUAUUGACAACCUUAAAAACACUUAUUUACUUGACUAACACCCAUGAUCUUGCAAUAUGAGUGAAAUACACUCCUAAAUUCUCUCAAGUUUAUGGGUGCUUUGAACACUUCUCUCGACUUUUUAUUAAGAGUUUCAUGUCUUUACAAGAGUGUAUGCAAUGUGGCAGAUCAGAUAUGUAUCUAAGUUUAAGCUAGUCAAGUAGAUGGGUGUUUUUAAAACUGUCACUAAUUUGGAGACGAAACUAAUAAUUUGUGCCAAGUUUAAGGAUGUUUUCAACACUUGUCUCGUAUUUAAUCAAUCAUGAGACAUUUUUGGACCAAACUAUUGACCUAAAGAUAUUUUUAUUCGAUGUUGUAUAGUUAAUUUAGUUUUGCUUUUUAAGGUUUUACGUGGUGGAAAACAUCUUGCUACAGAAGAAACAGCAAAGUGUAUGAUUAAUCUGUUGAGGAAACUUGAGAAAGAAGUAGCACCAGACACCUUGAUAUCUGCAUGGUCAUUACUAUUGCCUAAGCAGGAGAUGGAACUGAAAUCCAUUCUAUUUCCUGGCAUACUUAUAAACCACAAAACAUUUUUUGUGCUUGGCAGUAAUUUCUCAAUUGUCAAAUUUCUUGAGGAAGAACUCCAGAAAAAUAUUACUAAUGUUCGACGAAUGUGACUUAUAAACCGUGUAUUGUAUCUUUAAUUUAGUUUUGUUACAGAAUAAUGUAUAGAUGAUACUAUAGUUGAUUUGUGGGAAUUUGAAUAUUUAAUUACCAUAAUUAGACUAUUCUCACUUAUUUAUAUCUUUGUAUUCUUUGAGUAGUACUCCCUCCAUUUCUAUUUAUAUGUCGUCCUUUUCUAAGGAUAGAUAAUAUUUAAUAUUUGACAUUUCACAAAACCAAUACAUAAAUAAAACGAUUCUUUCUAUUUUUACCUUUAAAAGCUAUUAGCCUUGAAAGUAUGAAUUUGACCAAUAUAGGAAAACUAAAUGAUUAGAUCAUUUUCAUUGAUCAAUUUAAUUAAUCAAAAUAAAUUAAUUUAUAUUCAUUUGUUGAAACUUGACUUCAAGAGAUCACUAAAUAAGGAUACACCAGUCAAUUCACCUAGACGUGAAAUCUAAAAUUGUGGCAUAUAAAUAGAAGUGAGGGGGUAGAUAAGAAAUUUUAUGUAACUUCUCUUGUUUUCGUGGUAUCAGAGCCUAAGGGCUCAAAUCUUUAGAUUCUCUAAAACAAAAUUUCAAUAAGGGGUCUACAGUAUAAAUAAAAUUUUAAUAUUCAAACAUUUCAAUAUUAUUUAAAUUAAUUUACCUUAGAGAUUGACAUAAUUCGAAAACCAAAUACCGAAUAAAUAAUUCAUAAAACUGAAAUUAUCAUCGCCGGACCAGUGACCACUAGUACCUCCAAACAACUCAAAAACAAACUACCACCCGAUCACACCAAAUCGGUCGUUACAUGAAAUGAGACAUUUCAUGGUAACGAUGGAUCUAAAUGAUACAAUACAAUAAAAUUUAAGUAACAAUCAACAUAAGUAUUGUAUUUAAACUAACUAUACAAUAUAAUGGGUAACAACCAUCCAAACAAGGUGUUAAUGUAAAAGCAUACAGAAUAUCAUAUAAUAAAGUUCAUAUAUCAAUGCAAUGGAUCCAUUGAAAGAAAGUAUUUUGAAGUACACACAAAACUCAAAAACAAGAAAAUUAUCCAUCUAGAUGGAUAUGAUUAUGCAUAAUGAACAGAGGAAACAGCUUAAGAGAAAAACUGGUCCAUUAGAUCCCCUCUUUCAAUCGCGAUCUUCUAUUUCUGCACAGCAAAGAAACACUUCUCAAAUAUAUUUUACGAAAGAUUUAACAGGUAAAAGUGUACAAGCUCAAAAUAUGAUGCAAUUAAUCUUGAGUCAGUUACCUGUUAAACCAGUGUUGCAGUUUUUUAUAUGCAAGGGGUAAAUAAGGACCUUGAGCUCUGCAUUUCCAUAUUCUUCUUGCACUUCUUGAAUGUCCUUGACUGACUUUUCAAGAGACUCACCACAUCGUUUCACUUCAACUAUCUUUAGAGUAGGAAUAUCUCCAAUCAUAGAAGGAAUUUCUUGAAGAUUAAAGCAGUUUUCUACCAGAAGCUGUUUGAGGUUAAGCAAGGACUCAUUUGAGGCAUUCCAUGUUGUUAUUUUAAGGGAACUUAAUUUAAGAACCUUGAGGUUCAGAAACUCUUCAUCUUCGAUCUCCCAUUUGUCCUGCUGAAAUGCUCUAUGUUCCAACUUGAGAACCACUAAAUUUGGUAAUCUUCCGAUAUUAGACAGUUCACUUUGUGGCAACAAAACAUCUGAUAGAGUUAGCUUUGUUAGUGUCGCGGGCAAGGUGAAAUUCAAAAUCUUACCAUUUACACUGAGUGUUUCAAGUUGAAGAGCAUCUAAUUUGAGUUUGAGAGGCUCUUUACAGUGGCAUUUGAGCUUUCGCAGUCUGCUUGCCUUCUUGACCAUGUAGUCUACUAGCUCAUUAGUGAGAGACACUGUGGCCAAAGUCUCUAUGUUUGUCGAUGUCUGAGGAAUGCGUCCAUCAAAAGAUGCAACAGGUUCAACAUGUACAUGCUUUAGCCUUGGCAUAUUCCAGAUGGUCAUCGGUAAAAUUGUGCCACUGCCUACUGUUAUUACAAGCAAUACCUCUAGGUUUGAAAGGUUCGAUAUCCAUAAUGGCAUAGAUACCAUAUAGCCUUUGAUUCCUAAGUACUUCAAAUGGAUCAGCUCUUUUGAUCUCUGGAAUGAACUGUCUGACAUAGGACAUUCCAUUUGUAGUACUUUUAAUAGUUUAAAGUUCUCGAGAUCAAGAAAUUCCUGGCAGCCAGAUUUCGGGGGUCUGAAGAAUGCAGAUCGAACUUGCAUGUUUCCAAUCUUCCCUGCCCAAUAAAGGCUAUGAUGAAUGCAAAGCCUCCGGUGCUCAUAAAAGGAACUAGACAAAUCAGUCUUCCCGGUGCUUGUUAGUUGCAUAAACUUCUCUUCCUUAGACUUUGUCAUGCAAAAAUCAUGUAACAUAUCAUGAAUGUGGCAUGUUCUGACUCCUCCAGUGGACUUUCUCUUGCUCACCAUUAUCAAGCUUCUACCAAUGAGAUCAUUCAGUAAACUUUCUACAGCAAGGUGUAUACUUUCUACCUCUAUGUUUGGCACCAAUCCCUCAAUAGUCCAUAACCACUCCAAGUUCGAGAGUGGAAUUUCUUCAUCCUUUUGAAAUGAUGCAAAAUAUAGAAGGCAGGGUUUGAGAUGAUCAGGCAAGUGCUUGUAGCUCAGUUCUAUAACCUCCAUGCACUCUUUUGCACUAGUAACAGUAUCUAACUUUAUACUUUCUGCGAUUCUUCUCUAAUUUUCCUCAUUUUUGCUUAUCCCAGACAAAACUCCAGCAACCAAAAUCACAAGGAGAGGUAGUCCUUUACACUUACUCGCGAUGUUUGCUCCACUUUUGAUAGGUCUGGUGGGCAAGUUUGUUCCUUGAACAGCUUGAUUCUCAUUAGUUCCCAACUUUCAUUUUCGUCAAGGAAACGAAGGUGAAGAGGUUCUCUAUCAGGGUUAAUUUCUGAAGCCACAUCGCUGAGUCUGCUAGUUAAUAAAAUCCUGCUUCCGUUAUUAUCAUCCGGGAAGCAUCCUCUCAAGUCAUCCCAUGUGUCAACACUCCAAAUGUCAUCAAUGUAGAGAAGGUACCUCUUCUUUUUUAAGAAUUUCUGCAAAGCAUCUGCUGGAUUUGACUCAUUCUGUUGAUUGGAACUUUUAACUUGAUUCAAAAUUUCAAGCAGCAACUUUCUCCUGUCAUAAGCUUGGGAAACACAACACUUAGCUUUGACAUCGAAAUGACGCCGCAUUUUCUCAUCAUGAAAAACUUUCUUUGCUAGUGUAGUUUUUCCAAGACCAGGCAUCCCUACGAUAGACACAACAUCCAAGUACUUUGGUCCUCUAGUGAGCCAGUUGAUUAGCAAGUCAAUCUCGUCCUUAAAACCCACCAUUACCUCAUCAAGUUGUGUAGUCUCAACUACUUGUCUGACAGGAUUUGGUGUUUGUUCUUCAAUAGGGACUUCAACUUCUCGCGUAAUCGUAGCAUGGAACUCUUUCAAAUGAUUCCUUACAACCUUAGUUUCUGUUGUGAUCUUACAUAACAAAUGUAGAUACCAAACAGGAUAAUCUCCGGUAACCAGGCAAUCAAUUAUGCAUUCUGCCUGGUAUGCUAGAGAUAUGACUUCUGUCCAUAGAUCAUGUUUCUUCACCUCCUCAAACUCAUGUUUUUUCUUCUCAACUUCCUUCAAGAAGUCUCGUACGAGACAUAACUCUUCCUGAGCUUCUUCAAUAAGAUGCUUGACAACAGAAUCACACUUUCCGUCUUGCAGCAGCUCUUCCAGAUAGCGUAAGAGGGAAUCGAUAAACCCCAAUCCAUUUGUCCUAGGAAAAUUACAUUUUGAUGACACUACAUCUUUCAGAAUCACAUCUUUUAGAUCUUCCAUGACAUGUUCAAUCUUUUUAACAAGUCACUGAAUACCGAGUUAACUUCUGCUGCUUUGUCAACGGAGAAAGAGAAAGCAGCAGAUACUACCUCAGCAAUCAGACCUUCAAUGCAAGUAAGUUUGUCACUCAUUUUUUCCUGGAUAACAUAUAAAUCUUCUGGUGGACAAAUGAGCAAAGUUACCAAUUGCUUUGAUGCUUCGGCAAGGCUUUUGAUUUGAUCCUUUUUAAGAGGAAGCAUCAAAGAACAUGCCUCACCGUCUGAUAACUCCAACAAAUCCUUGAAGAUGAAAUGAACAAAACCUUCAACAAAUUCUAUCACAUCCCGGCUGUAUUGGAUUUGCAAUUUAACUGAACCUCUUAGAGCUCCAGUAUAGAUUUCUGCAAUGUGCGGAUCAAUGGGCUUGAUAUCUUUCAAAACAUGAGAGAUUUGNNNNNNNNNNNNNNNNNNNNNNNNNNNNNNNNNNNNNNNNNNNNNNNNNNNNNNNNNNNNNNNNNNNNNNNNNNNNNNNNNNNNNNNNNNNNNNNNNNNNNNNNNNNNNNNNNNNNNNNNNNNNNNNNNNNNNNNNNNNNNNNNNNNNNNNNNNNNNNNNNNNNNNNNNNNNNNNNNNNNNNNNNNNNNNNNNNNNNNNNNNNNNNNNNNNNNNNNNNNNNNNNNNNNNNNNNNNNNNNNNNNNNNNNNNNNNNNNNNNNNNNNNNNNNNNNNNNNNNNNNNNNNNNNNNNNNNNNNNNNNNNNNNNNNNNNNNNNNNNNNNNNNNNNNNNNNUGGGCUGCAUAAAUUUGGUAAAGGCCACCUCCCUGGAACCAAUGAAAGGAGAAACUCAUAACCUUCUUUGACUUCAGCAGAAGAUAAGUCUGCCCUUGGUCCCGAGACAGUGUCACCGACUUGCAUUCCAUGUCUGCACAAUCUCCCCUCCUUAAUCCUUCCUUUUUCAUUUGCCCAAUACAAGAAAGUACCAAAAAAUCUCCUCUCUAUUUCAGACAUUUGUUUUCCAGCAGAAUUUCCUCAGAGUGGAUAUAUGUCGACAGCUCUGCAAGCAAAGAGAUUAAAAGCAAAUCACAUUCUAGGACAAACAAUGCAUACUCCAACUCUACACCAGCAAAACUCUGGUACCAUAAUCUAGCUGCUCUUCAUAUUGCGUCAAAUCCGGUGUAUCAUGAAAAAACUAAACAUAUUGAGGUUGAUUGCCAUUUUAUUCGCGAGAAGAUUCCGGAAAACAUGAUUUCCACUGGCUACGUGAAGAGAGGAGGGCAACUAGCUGAUUCUGUUCACAAAAAUGUUGAAUGGAACUCGAGUUGAUUAUCUUUGUAACAAGCUACUAUAAAGCUAUAUGUUUUCUUGUAUAUAAUAUUCUAGCUGAUUUCUAGGGAUUCAGAUAUCUAGUUACCUUAGUUAGCCUUUUCUUUACGUGUACUUAAAUCAGUGUAUUCUUUGGAUAAUAUACAAAUACAAGCUAUACUCUUAAACUUCAUUCUUUGAUAUAUAACAAUAGCUGAUUGCAUUAUGUCUGCAUUCAAAAUUAUGUAGCAAAAGAUGCAAGAAUUAAUACAAAUUAAGUUUGUUAUAAAAGUCUAUCACAUACCUUUUUAACAACUUUGGCAGAGCAGAAAGCAGUGAUCUAGGGUUCAUCAAUUUGUUCCACAAUUUUAACCAAAAACAACUAAAGUGGACUUGCUUUUAUAUGUGUGUUAAUCAUGGAAUACUUUUGAGAUUACUUAAUAUAAAGUAUAAUGAAACUAAAAAUUACAGAUAAAUGAAGACUAUAAAAUGAUGCAGCUUGAUUGUUUCAUUCUGGCCACUGGUAAUGGAUAAGAAAUGAUUUGUUUUCCUCUGUUUCAAUUUGUUUGGCCUAUUUUGAUAUGACGUGAAGUUGUAGAAAGUGAAAAAGACUUUUGAAUCUUAUGGUCUUAAACAUGUCGUGUGGAAAGUUGAAGUUAAAGAGUCGCUAAAAAAAGAAAGGGUCGUUCUUUUUUAAACAGACUAAAAAAAAAAAAGUAGGUUAAACAUAUUAAAACGGAGGAAGUAAUUGAAAGUCUGAACCUACUAAAAAGAAAAGUAGGUCAUGAGUCGGUAUCAUAUUAAUUAGAUCAUUGAAAUAUCUCAUGAUUUACGGAAGAAAGUCCUCAUUUGCUGCUACCAAUUUCACCACUUUGUCAAACAUCAUUUAAUUGGCAAAGAAAAGUCAAAUAAGACAUUUGCAAGUUAGAUAUUAUUCUUGUCAUUGAUUUCACUCAUGAAAUUAUUCGUGUUAGAAAGCAGAAUGAGGUAUACCAUAUAGACUGUAUAAAAAAAUAGUCUGAUAAAAAAAAUAGAGCGUUAGCGAUCAUCUCUUAUCGGAAAAGGUCGGAAUCUAAGUCAAUGAUGAAGCAGAAGGAUCCUAACUCAUUAGCUCUUAAGCUAGCCAAGUCUCUUGGCUCUGAUCAGCUAGCUGCUGCACUUCAUCCUGACAACAAUUGGCCUAAAUUAUUACUCCCUCCGUCCCAUUUUAUGUGGCAACAUUUGACCGGGCACGGAGUUUAAUAAAUAGAUAAAGACUUUGAAAUGUUUAUCAAAUUGCCCUUCAAAAAAAUAGAUAUAUUUUUCUCUCUCCUAAUAAAUGUAUUGGAGUACUCUUUUCAAGAUUAAGUGGGACCAACAAGGGUAAAAGAGAAAUUAUACCUUUAAAUACUUACCAAAUAAGGAAAUGUGACAUUCUUUUUGAGACUGACCAAAAAGGAAAUGUUGCCACAUAAAAUGGGACGGAGGGAGUACCAAUCUUUUAUAGGUGUUUCAGUACUCACUACAAGAAAAUGUACAUACGACAUUAAUUUAGUGACAUUUGAAAUAAAUGUUGGAAAAUAAAGAAUUUUACGAUAUUUAGGAACAAAAUGUCAUAAAACAAUGACAUUUGAUGUCAAAUGUCGUAAAAAUAAUGACAUUUGGUAUCAAAUAUCAUAAAAAUAAUAACAUUUGGUCCAAAAUGUACUAUGAUAAUGACAUUUAUUGCAAAAUAUCGUUGUUUUUAGCGACAUUUAGCAAAAAUGUCAUUUAAAUGAUGACAUUUGCUACAAAUGUCGAAUAUAAUAUGACAUUUAUUACAAAAUGUCAUUGGUUUUAGUGACAUUUAGAAAAAAUAUCGCUUAAAUAGUGACAUUUAAUAUAAAUGUCGAAUAUAUUAUGACAUUUACUGCAAAAGGUCAUUGAUUUUUAGUGACAUUUAGAAAAAAUGUCACUAAAAUAGUGACAUUUGUUGUAAAAUGUCAUUGAUUUUAGCGACUUUUAGCAAAAGUGUUGCUAAAGAAGCGACAUUUAAUACAAAUGUUGAAUAUAUUACACUAGUAGAAUUUCGUUUGCAAAAUUGUUGCUAAAAUAGUGACAUUUCAUACAAUUAUCGAAUAUAUUAUGACAUUUAUUGCAAAAUGUCAUUGAUUCGAUCGACAUAUAGUGAAAAUUUCGCUAAAACAGUGACAUUUUUAUACAAAUAUCGAAUAUAUUAUGUCAUAUGUUGAAAAAUGUCAUUGAUUUUUAUGACAUAUGAUGAAAAGUACUGUUAAACGACUACAACAUUUUAUGUCUACAACCACCCUAGAAAAGUGUAGCCUUUGAUAAAAGGCCACACUUUUUGACUUUAAGCCACGCUUUUCCAGGGGUGGCCGAAAGAAGCAUAACCUUAGAGUUUAGGCGACACUUUUCAAGUGUUGCCUUAACAGCUACGCUUAAAAGCAUAGCCUAAAAGGCAGAAAGGCCACGCUUUGCAGUACCUCAUAUAGCUUAACAUUUCUAUCUCAUACAACUACACUUUCAAGGGUGGCCUUUGCUUCCUUAUUGCCCACGAUUUUAAAGUGUUGCCUUUUCUAUCUUAUGUAUGACAACACUUUGAAGUGUAGUCCUUGCUCAUGUGCAUACCACAAUUUACAGUUAUUUGGCUGCACUUUUAAGUAUGGUAAUAUUAUUUUUACUAUAAAAUAUUUAUAUGCCACAAUUUCUAAUUAAAAAACAUCAAUAUUAUUUUGCAAUAAAUAAUCUCAAACACUAAAUUAGCUAAUAAGUAAUUCAAAUAUAUAGAUUUGUAAUAAACUUCAAAAGAUAGUAUGUCUUGUGUACAUACACAUACUUGUUUGACAGAGAAUUUAAACUAGUUUGUUGAAUUAAUCCAACACAUUGACACUGAAGCAAUAGUCCAUUACAUUGAUAUAUUACACCCUAUAUUCCUAAACACGUUGAAUGGUUCCCUGUAUCUAGACGUGAAAAUAUCCAUUAUGAUGUAUUCAAAUUGUCUCAUUGAACUAACUACAUAUCUGAAGCUGUCUCACUGCCAGCAAAAUGUGUACCUUGUACUCUUUGCUUCAAGUAGUAUGAACCAUGUCUAUUUGACCCUAUAAGUAAUAUGAACUAUGUCUAUUUGUAUAAUUUUCACUCGAACCCUAAAGUACUUAGGUCCAAUAAACACAUUCAUCCUAUGUGGUGUCCUGUAUGAUAAUUUUGUGUCCUAUGUGACGUCCUACAUGUAUUAUGUUGUAGGACGUAUGAGUCAACUUGUUCAAUUUUAUACAAGUUGAAGUGUCUAUUUGUGCAUGCCAAAAAUUGAAGGACAUAUAUGUCAGAUGAAUUCAAAUUUAAAAACAUAUUUAUGUAUUAUGUCAAAUAUUAAUCUAAAGACAUCACAAAUAUGGCCGUGUAAGAUGGUAAUCGAUCCGUUAUACCAACACCAAAUGAACAGAAGGACAAAUUUAGAUGUGCAUGAAAUACUUUUAAUUAAUGGUGAAAGAUAUAUACAAGUGAGUAAGCAUACAUGUGAUCUACACUCUAACCAAAAAGAGCAAUUAUUUUUUGUUGUUGUCAAAAUUAAUCCUCCAAUAAUUCCUUUCAUCUUCAAAAAUUACUUUCACUUUGCAAUUUUUUUCUUGUCUUCAAAGCAUACUGCUUAAAAAUAUAGAGAGAAGAGCUAGUAUUGAUCACUUUGCUAUAGUCUGUCUAUAGUUUCUUUCAAUUGAGUACUAAACAAUGACUAAAUGUUCUUCUCUUCAUUUUUAAUUGCACUUAAUAGGUACUAUUUCCUAAUUAUUUGGCCACAUUUCCUUUUUUAAUUAUCCCUAAUUAUUUGUUCAUUUUGAUAAAUCAAGAAAUGACAAUUUUUUACCUAUUAUACCCUCAAUUAAUUACAUUGAAAAAUGUAGAACUUUUUGAAAAUCUUAAGUUUUUAUUCAUCAACUUCAUAAUUAAUAAGGGUAAAAUGGUAAACUCACUAUAUCAAUUAUUGUUUUCGUAAUAGACGUGUCAAUUCAAAAGUGGACAAGUAAUUAGGAACAUAGUACUCCUUCCGUCCGAAUUUAGUUGUCCAUAUUUCUUCUUUUAGUUGUCCCUAUUUAGUUGUCCAUUUUGACAAAUCAAAAAAGGAUAACAAAUUUUUUCCUAUUAUACCCUUAUUUAAAUGAAGUUGUCAUAAAUAAAGUAAAUAAACUUAUGAACUUCCCAACAUUGAUUAGUUAUCUUGAGUGAAUUUAUUUUGAAAUUGUAAAUUGUACUAUAAGGGUAAAAUUGUAACUUCACUAUGCUAAUCAUUGUUGCCUUAAUCUGUGUGUCAUUUCUAAAGUGGACAACUAAAUAGGGACGAGUAAUAAACGAUGACCAAGAAAGAAUAAUUAAUUAUUUUUCUUGUUUUUUCCUCUAAUGGAGGACAGAUGGAAGAUUAAUAAAAUAUUAUUUAUCUUCUUAAAGUUUAGAGGCCCACUUAAUAAUUGCUACAAAACAAAGAUGCUAAUCAGCUAAAGGAUAUAUUGUAGAAUAAUAAUUUAUACUCCCUUUGUUCGCUUUUAUUUGUCCUAAUUUUACUUGACACACCCAUUAAAAAAAUAAUUAUUAAUAUAGGUAUUUUAUUAAAUUGUCCCUAUUAAACGAUGUUUAGUAUUAAGUAUUGGAAAGUGACUUGGAAAUAGAGUAUUUAAUAUUGAGGGUAAAAUAUGGAAAAAUAUAAUUGUCUUUUUAUGAUAUGUCAAAAGUAACAAAUAAAAUGAAAAUUUAUUUUAGGAAUAAGUGAAAGUGAACGAGAGUAUUAAUUUUAUCUACCCGAGUUAAGAGGUUCAAAUCAAUGAUUUCUUUAUCUUGUCUUUUUAGCAUUGCAAUUAGGGGUGUAUAAAAUCGAACCGAAAAUCGAAUCAAGCCGUAAAUCAAAAAAAAAACCUGACUAGUGGUUUGGUUUGACUUGGUUUGGUAUUGGAAAAAAAAAUCCGACUAUAUUUGGGUUGGGUUGGGUUGGUUUUAACUUAAAAAAAACCAACCCGAGACCAAACCAACCCGACAUUAUAUAUGUAAUUUUAAAAUUUUAUUUUAUACAUAAAAAUAUUUACUUUGAUAUAAUUUUAAAAUAUUUCUUAUACUAUUUCAUAGUUUUUAUCUUUUAAUAUAUUAUUUCAAGUUUAAAACUUAGAAUUCGGAAUGGUCCAAUAAAGAUUAUAGUUCAUAGAUGUUGAUAAUUAUAAUUAAAUUUAAAUCAAAAUCAAAUUAAUACUAAUGCAAAAAGAAAAUCAAUUCAACACUAAGAAUGACAAUAAUAUUGAAUAUUUGUUCUUUAGUUUUACAUUGGUUUAGACAAUUAAAAUACAUAAUCUAAUUUUAAUUUUCCUUAAAUAUUUAGUAAUGUAACUAAUACUUAUUAAACUUAUUUUAGCAUGAUUUAGUACUUUUAAAUUAUGAUCAUUUUCAUUAUGACUUUGCAAUAUUUAUUUUAUAUAAUGAUUUCAUUAUUAUUUAUUAUUGAAUAUUUUUGUUCACCAGUACUCAUCUCAUAUUUUGUGUUAUUUUUUUUUUAAGAAAUACCUUAGAUAAUUGUAUUUUGGUUGGACUAAAGAAAUAUUUGGAGCACAAGUUAAUUAUGAAAUAUGUCUAUUUGUAUAACAGAUGAAUGAAGAAUAUAAAAUGAUGCAACUUCAUUGUUUCAUUAUGGCCACUGGUAAUGGCUAAGAAAUGAUUUUUUCCCCCUUUGUUUCAAUUUGUUUGACCUACUUUGACUUGACAUGAAAUUUAAGAAAAUAAAAAAGAUUUUUAAAUCUUGUGGUCUUAAACAUGUCGUGUGAAAAGUUGAAGUUAAAGAGUUGCUAAAAAAAGAUAGGGUCAUUCUUUUUUAAACAGAUUAAAAAGAAAAGUAAGUCAAAUAAAUUAAACGGAGGAAGUAAUUGAAAGUCUAAACCUACUAAAAAGAAAAUUAGGUCAAGAGUCGGUGUCAUACUAAUUAGAUCAUUGAAAUAUCUCAUGAUUUACAGAAGAAAGUCCUCAUUUGCUGCUACCAAUUUCACCACUUUGUCAAACAUCAUUUAAUUGGCAAAGAAAAGUCAAAUAAGACAAAGUUAAACAUUAUUCUUGUCAUUGAUUUCACUCAUGAUAUUAUUCGUAUUAGAAAGCAGAAUGAUGUAUAUCAUAGGCUGUAUAAAAAAUAGUUUGGUAAGAAAAAUAGAUUUUUAGCGAUCAUCUGUUAUCGGAACUAGCAAUAUGGAUCCUAACUCAUUAGCUCUUAAGCUAGCCAACUUGUAUAGGUGUUUCAGUACUAAUUCCCAUUUGACAGAGAAUUUAAACUUGUUUGUUGAAUUAAUCCAACAUAUUGACGCUGAAGCAAUAGUCCAUUACAUUGAUAUAUUACACCCUAUGUUCCUAAACACGUUGAAUGAUUCCCUGGCUAAUCUAGACGUGAAGAUCACUGCCCUGACGGCGAUGAGUAACUUCAUUCAACAGGUGGGGAGUUCAAAAGAUAGGGAGAGGUUUCAGGAUCUGUUGCCUGCGAUGAUGGACAUGCUGAAUAAGGCAUUGGAAGAAAAUUGUGAGGCAUCAGCUCAGUCUGAGUUGGAGAUUUUGAUUGAGUUGGCCAAGAAUGAGCCUAGCUUCUUCAGGAUGCAGCUUGUGGUUGUGGUGGGUUCCAUGUUUGAUAUAGCUGAAUGCGAGAGUUAUGAAAAGAAAACGAGACGUUUGGCGGUUGAAUUCGUGAUGACAUUGGUUGAGGCCAGGGAGAAGACCCCUGGCAUGAUCAAGAAGUAUCCAUUGUUUACUGAAAAAUAUUUUGCAAUUUUAUUGAAUUUGUUAGAGGAUGAGGUUUAUGACCCUCUCUUGCCUGAUCCUUAUGAUAAAUGGGAUAACAAUUAUGAUUUCCUUUUUCUUAAGAUGUGUUUAAGGCGGUUGUCCAAUGCGCUGGGUGGUAAGACUGUUGUUCCUGUUGCCUUUGAGCAGCUCCGUGCUCACUUGGCUGACGACUCGUGGCAGAAGCCAUGCGCAGCACUCUAUGCACUUGCUCAGAUUGUUGAAGGCUGCUCAGAGGUGUGUAUUUAUUGAUACACUACUAAGAAUUGCAUUUAAACUGAUUAGUUAACGAUCUUGGGAUAGCAGAAGGUCACCUUGAUUAUACUUUCUUCUGUUAUUCUCUAGACUAAGUACUUUGCUUGCUCUCAUCUCUUCUUCAUUAUAAUAGGUGAUGAUUAAGAAUAUGAAUCUAGUGGUGACAAUGGUUCUGGAUUGUAUGGGACAUCCUCAUCCUGGAGUUAGAUUCGCCUCCAUGGAAGCAAUUCGCGAGUUUUUGAGUUUCAUGCGUCCCCAUUUUCAAGAACAAUGUCAUCACCAAGUAGUGCCGGCAUUAAUUAAAGCUAUGGAUGAUGAGAGUGUACAAGUGCAGGUCUGUAUGUCCUACGAUGAUAUGAACUCCUUUGGAUGCUAGUAUCAUAUGUCCCAAAUUACAGUUGCGAAAUUUUCUUACUGAACCUUCUCAAUGGGCUUAACUUUAACUUUAUUAGAUUUAAUCCCUGCUCUAACUUUACUAUCUUCAUAUUUUCCUAGGUCAGUGUCAUACGCACGGUCUGGCACUUCCUUCACGUUCGCACGCCUGAAUAUUUGACACUUUACAUCCAUGGAUUACACAAUAAAUUGCUUCAACUGUCGUCACAUACUGUUGCGGUGGUACGUAUUGUAGACUAAGUGCAAGAGAAAUCAGAUCAUUUUCUUGAACAAUGAACAGACAAUAUUACGAAUACAUUAAGGGAAACAACCAUAAUUUCCAAGUUCCCAAUAUAAUUAUCCCGCCCUCCUUUAUAAAUUCAAAGUUUGUUACUCCCUUGAAUGUCCUUGAGGUCUCUACUUGCCUGAUUUAUUUUUGUUUUUGACAUGAAAGGUCCAAAAAUCAGCGUCAACUGUACUCAAUUGUUUGGGUGAGCAUUUUGAGGUAUUACCUAGUAAUUCUGCUUCAACUUUUAUUAAGAGUAUGUUGUAUUAAGCUGGUUUUAUAUUUCUAUUAAUAUUAACAUUACUUCAACAGGAGUUCUAUGGGAACAACUACGAAUCUAAUAAACCACUUUUGAAAGCUUCACUGGUAGAAGCAAAUUUUCCAAGUAAAGAUGUAGAGAUGAUCAUGUCAGUGUACGAACCUGGCAGUUCGGUACUUCCAAAACAGGUCUUCCACCAGUUAUACCAAAUGGAUUCUAUACAUCUCACUGAACUUAGAGCUUAUUGUUUAUUCGUUUUCUAUUUUUCUGUUGUUGACAUAAUGUCACUAUAAGAUUAUGGAAGCAGUUAUGUCAUUACAAGGAUCACAAGAGGAUGAUGAGGAUACAAAUACCAUCUACAAGCUAAUGGUAUGUGUUGUUGAGAAUAUCGUUAACUAAUAAAAUGGUGUUCUCUCUAAUAGCUUAAGCUUUUAGAUGAGAUGGUCACACACUUCAACAUGUUAUCAGAACAGGCAGAGGCCCUGGGAUCAAAUCUCUUCGCCACCCAAAUUAAAAAGAAUUUCCACGUGCUAAUCAGUCAGAAAUUCUUUCAAGAUUGGUCUUUCUAUAUUUCUUGAUCUCAUUCCAGGUUGUCACACUUGGACUUCUCUCUUUUUCUUUCUUUCUACCCGUGAUUUUGAUCGCGAACUGAAAAUUUAACAAGUGGUUUCAAUGGCCUAAUGCUUGAUAAAUGAUACAGACUGCUUCAAUUUUAUUUCCACUUUUGAAAUUCCAUUUCAAAGGGGUCAGGUUCCAUACAGUUUGAAGGUGAGAUUUCUCAGGAUUUCACAUAGUUAAUUUCUACCGUCUUUUAUAACUAUCUGAUCAACUCCAAGACUUUUUAAUUUGUAAUGUUUAUAGCGAUGAAGCACAUUUUGCAAUCUGCUAAACUGGCUGAUGAGAAAGGGAUUGCUCCAGGUGAAAGCCAUUCGGAUUUCAAGCAGUUUUCAGACAGUAUAAUACUGAAUUUGGUGGAAGCUUUGCAUGAGGUUUACUUUUAACAUUAAGCUUCUUCUUUUUGGAUAAUGAGAAAGUAACACUUUGAUUUCUAUAUAAUGCAGGAGCUUGAAACAGAGAUAUAUGUACAUAUGUUGAAUACAUUACGACUGUGCCUUCAGGUUCGUGAUCUUUAAACACUGCUUAUUUGUUUUUGAUCCAAAGUUUUCAGUGUUUCACUAUGAGCUAGGUAUGAAGUUUUUUGGAACUGUUGCCUUUAAGUCUGUUGCUUAAAAUGUUCCAUUAGUAUCAUCAAAGUGAGAAAAUAGCAAUGGUGACAAGUCGAGUUAGAAUGGCAAAACAGGAUUUUUCAGGUUGUAUAUGGUCCUUGUGUUUCUUCUUUCAGAUAUGUGGUCCACUUCUCAAUAAAGACCAGCUUCGUCCGGUCGUGGAUGAGAUAAAGCAUGUCAUUACAGAAAAUUUAAAUAGCCAAGGAAAACUCAGAGAGAGAGAAAAAACAGAAGACUUUGAUGCUGAGGAAGCUGAAUUGCUGAGAGGGGAAAAACAGCGACAAGAUCAAAUAAUUUUCCUUGUAUGUUCUAUUUUAAAACAGGAACUAAAGUGAUACACUGUUGUCUAUAUAUUCAAGCAUUUUCGCUUUGUUUAUGCUGUUAUUCUUGAACAGGCUGGUCACAUAUUACGUAGACUUAUCGAAUCAUUCAAGGUUGUUUUCUUGCCUUACUUUGACGAGCUAUCAUUAUAUCUGAUUCCGAUGUGGGUAAGUUCAUUGACAUUAUUCUGACAUGACGUUAGUUUAUUUACUAUUAUUCAUAUCUAGGAUAUCUUACUGUUUCCGAUUUUGUUAAGGGAAAAGAAAUGACAAUUCAAGAGAAAUCUACAUCACUUUAUAUCUUUGAUAGUCUUGUGAAGGAGUGCUCUGAAGCAGCUCUAAAGUGAGUUUAAUUUGUCUGUAUGAGUUUCUGGUGUAUCACCAUUUUUAUAAAUUACUUACUUCUUAUGCCAACUUAGGUACUGUGAUGUAUUUCUACCUUUGCUUCUGAAAGCAAGCAAUGACGACAACCCGACAGUUAGACAGGUUUGGAUCAUAGUGAUUGUUUACAUUCCUGUUACUCAAGUUGGUUGCUCACAAUGACUUUAUGUUCAGAAAGCUUUAUAUGGACUUGGGCUUUAUGCAGAAUAUGAUGGUUCUGUUUUCCAACCUUAUGUUAGAGGUAUUAAUAUUGUUGAAUGUGAUACCUUCUAAUCAAGCAAGUGUUUUUGUUAACUUACGCGUUUAUGUUCAGAGGCUAUGUCACGGAUCAAUGUAGUGAUAAUGCAUUUACGUGCUCGUGAACCUGAGAAUGAACUUGCAUAUGAUAAUGCUGUUUCUACCCUUGGUAAAAUAUUUCAGUUUCAUCGAGAACUUAUCGACUCAGCCCAGGUUUGUCCUUCUCAGAAUCCCUAAUGUUAAGUCUUGUUAUAAUUUCUGAUUCUGAAUCCUUGUGUAGGUCAUUCCCAUUUGGUUGAAUUGCCUGCCUAUAAAAGGUGACCUUGCUGAAGCCAAAUAUGUUCAUGGUCAACUAUGUUCCAUGGUUGAAAGGUAUUGGAUUUGUUUGGAAACUCUAAUAUGUUAUAACUUUCAUAAAAUGCAGGAUUAUUUUAUCCAACGUUUUGUUGGAAAUAUUAUAUUAUCAUAAGACUAUUUAUUCCACCAUUUAUACCUUAAAAUGUGAUAAGUUAUUUCAUCCCGAAAUAGUUGAUGUCAGGAUAACUUAUUCCGAACCAAACCAUCCCUUAAUGAUUUAUCAAAUUUUCUCAAUUGCAGGUCAGAUAGAGAACUUUUGGGUACCAAUUAUGAACACUUCCCAAAAAUUAUGUCAGUUUUUGCAGAGGUUAGUUCCAUAUCAGAAUCUAUAGAUGCCAGUUUGAGUUGUUUAUUUGCUCAUGUUACAUAUUAAAUGAGAUAAAUAUUGAAAACAUAAUUAUUAAUUUCAUAAUCAAACUAUUAACAAUCUUAAAAACACUCAUUUCUUUGACUAACUAAACUUAAAUACACUCCCGAUCUUGCAACAUGACCAAAAUACAUCCCUAAUUUAAGGGUGCUUUCAACACUCCUCUAUGUAAUGUGGCAGAUCAGAGAUGUAUUUAAGUUUAAUCUGGUCAAGUAGAUAUGUGUUUUUAAGACUAUCAAUAAUUCAAGAACGAAACGAACAAUUUGUGUCAAGUUUAAGAGUGUUUUUGAAUCAAACUAAAGACAUUUUUUAUUCCAUUUUUAAGGUUAUAUGUGGUGGAAAACAUCUUGCUACAGAAGAAACAACAAAGUGUAUGAUUAAUCUGUUGAGGAAUCUUCUUAAAGAACUACCACCAGACACUUUGACAUCAGCAUGGUCAUUGAUAUUGCCUCAGCAAGAAAUGGAACUAAAAGCCAUUUUAUUUCCUGGAAUACUUCAUGUGGUACGUUUUCACAACAAAACAUUUUGUAUGCUUGACACUGAUACCAAUGAAAGCUCUCCCCCUUACUCUUUACCAUCCAAAAUUGUCAAACUUCUUGAGGAAGAACACCAGAAAAAUAGUAUUAUUGUUCCACAAAUGUAACUUAUAAACCAUAAAUUGUAUCUUUAAUUAAGUUUUGUAUCAUUUAAGUAUACAAGAUGAUACUAUAGUUGAUUUGUGGGGAAUUGAAUAUGUAAUUAUCAUUAAACUAUCUAUUUUAUAUCUUUUUUACGAUUUAUCUAUCCAUUUGGAAUUUCUUUAUUUUUAAUUUUUCAUAAGUUGAAAUUCAUAUUGUGGCAUAUAAUUUAAAUAAUUAUUUAUUCAAAUUAAACAAGUCAAACCUUAAGGACCUAAAAUCUAAACCUGACGGCAUAAACCAUAAACCUUGAGGGGUCGUUUGGUGUGAAAGAUAACUUUAAAUAGUCCUGCGAUUAAAUUAUAAUGUCACUAAAUUUGUUGUUUGAUUGGCAAUUUGGUGAUAAGUUAUCUCGUGAUUAAUAAUUAAUACAAGGAUAAAUUAUCCCUUCCCUUGGGUGGUACAAUAAUCCCGAGAAAACUUAUCACGAGAUAAAAUGACUAAAUGACAAAAAUAUCCCUUCAAACACUUUUUAUACAUUACUUUUCAUAUUCAUGAACGGUAUUUUUCUAAGCAUCAUAACUUGAAUUCAAACCAAACGACUGCACCUUAGAGCCCAAAAAAUAAACUCAAAAUCAUAAACUCUAAACCUUAAACCUUAGGCCUCAACCUUAAAAUCUAAACCAUAAACCCAAAACUCAAAAGCUUGGGGCCUAAAACCUAAGAUCUACGAUUUAUGGUUUAGGAUUUAGGAUUUAGACUCUAAAAUUUAUAUUCUAGGGGUUGUAGUUUAUCGUUUUGACUAUAAGAUUUAGGAUUUAAGAUUUAUAAUUUUAAGAGUUUAGGCCUUAUGGUUAAGUGUUUAGAGAUAAGAUUUAUAAUUCAUGUAUAAAUUAAAAUAUAGGGUUUAGGCCCAAGGUUCAUAUGGUUUUAUGAUUUAUCAAAAGCCAAUUUGAGGUCAAUUUUUAAGCACAAUUGAACCAAACCCAUUUGAACCCAAAAUAAAUUUGAACGGAUUGAUCAACUUCGUGUAUUUUUUUCUACACUUUUGACUCUUCAUCACCUUUCUACAAUUACAAUUGUUUCACAAAUCCUUUUUUUAAAAUCUUUCAAACAUAAUUAUAAAAAAUAUCUUAGUAAAUCCAUUCUAUUUCCUAAUCCCUUUCAUAAAACAAAUAAUCAAAAUAGCCUCAGAAGGAAGGCAGUAGUAUAGUCAUAAUCAUUAUUUUGACCAUUAACGCAAAACUACUCAUCAUCGGACAAAAAAAUAAUAAAUUAAAAGAAACAAAAAACAAUUAUUAUUGUAAUGCUUGAAAGUUUUGCAAUUUUCCUAAUUCAAAAUUAUUGACUAUCGAUUUUGAUAAUGUAUUUCCCAAAAUUGUUGUGUGAAAUACACGAGUAAAAUACAUCUGAACUCAAAAUUCAAAAUACAUUUCAAAACUCAAAAUUAAGAGUCAAAUUUGUGCAUAAAAUUUAGGACUUGAAAUCUAAACUCAAAAUUUGAAACCAUAUACCUUAGGGCAUAGAUCCUAAACCUUAAGAGCCUAAACUUUAAACAUUAUGUCCAAAAUUAUGAACCCUAAAUCUUGAACCUUAAAUCCCAAGUCAUAAACCCUAAAAUCUUAGAACUUAAACCCAAAACUCUAAACCUUAAAGCCUAAACCUUAAACCUUAAACCUUAAACCUUGAAAGCCUAAAUCUUAAUGUUUAGGAUUUAUGAUUUAUGGUUUUUGAUUUUAAAAUUUAAGAUUUAGAGUUCAGACAAUAUGGUUAAGAGUUUUAAGUUUUAUGAUAUAAGAUUUAGGCCUUAAAAUUUGAAGUUUAGAUUUUAACAAUUAGGCUCUAAAAACUUUAAGAUUAAAAAUACAGCAUUUGAACAUUAUAAUAAAUAAUUAUGUAGUACCCCAACGACCAAAUACACCACAAAAAUUAGAUGCAAAGGAUAGCGAGGGGAACAUUAUUAUAGCUUCACUUGCUAAAGUAUCACACUACAAAAAGUGAAAUCCACAAAAUAUAAUUAGCAAAAGCAUAGUACAAUUAACAACAUAUCCAAUAAAAUCACAGUAAAUUUAUGCAAAUCUUAUCAUUAUCUCGUAAAAAUAAAAAUAAAAUAUGAAAACUACUUAGUCCCUUAGAUGUUCAAUUAAUUGCGAUCAUCUUCGCAAAUCAUUACAGGUCUGUAACUGUAAAAAAUUAAUCAUCACUGUUGUUUCCAUUGAAUAAAAUAUAUAAAAAAAAUUUUGAUGAACAAACUCAGUCCCUUAGAUGUUCAAUUUGUUGCGAUCAUUUUCGCAUAUCAUUACAGGUCUGUAACUGUAAAAUAUUACUCAUCAUUGUUUAUUCAUCAAAAAAAUAUUCUGAAUUUUUUUUUUUUUAAAAAAAAGUUGUAGCUGCUCCAAUUGUUCUCCACAGAUUAAAUUAAAUGAGGAGAAAGAUGAAAAAGGAACAACACACUUAUAAUGCUUCAAGGGAACGAGUUGGUCAAAAAUAAAUUAUUUCUUGCCAACCAGAUUAAAGAAGCAUAUAACUCAAAAUAUAUACACAAAAAUAAUAAAUUUAUUUAGAGUUUAGAAGAUAUAUCACCAUUGUUGAAGAUUUCAAUCGGCAGCUGCAGAAGAGAGAAAUUGUUGUGUUUUGAAGUACACGCAAAACUCAAAAACAAGAAAAUUAUCCAUCUAGCUGGAUAUGAUUAUUAUGCAUAAUGAAUAAAGGAAACAGCUUAAGAGAAAAACUGGUCCGUUAGAUCUCCUCUUUCAAUCGCAAUCUUCUAUUUCUGCACAGCAAAGAAACACUUCUCAAAUAUAUUUUACGAAAGAUUUAACAGGUAAAAGUGUACAAGCUCAAAAUAUGAUGCAAUUAAUCUUGAGUCAGUUACCUGUUAAACCAGUGUUGCCGCUUUUUAUAUGCAAGGGGUAAAUAAGGACCUUGGGCUCUGCAUUUCCAUAUCCUUCUUGCACUUCUUUAAAGUCCUUAACUGAUUUUUCAAGAGACUCACCACAUCGUUUUACUUCAACCAUCUUUAGAUAAUGCAUAUGUCCAACCAUGGAAGGAAUUUCUCGAAGAUUAAAGCAGUUUUCUAUAAGAAUGUGUUCGAGGUUGGGAAAGGACUCAUCUGAUGCAUUCCAUGUUGUUAUUGUAAGGGAUCUUAAUUUAAGAACCUUGAGGUUCAGAAACUCUUCAUCUUCGAUCUCCCAUUUGUCCUGCUGAAAUACUCUAUGUUCCAACUUCAGAACCACUAAAUUUGGUAAUCUUCCGAUAUUAGACAGUUCACUUUGUGGCAACAAAACAUCUGAUAGAGUUAGCUUUGUUAGUGUCGCGGGCAAGGUGAAAUUCAAAAUCAUACCGUUUACACUGAGUGUUUCAAGUUGAAGAGCAUUUAAUUUGAGUUUGAGAGGCUCUUUACAGUGGCAUUUGAGUUUUCGCAGUCUGCUUUCUGUUUUAUUUAAGAAAUACUCCCUCCGUCCCAUUUUAUAUGAUGUACUUUGAUACCGUUUACACUGAGUGUUUCAAGUUGAAGAGCAUUUAAUUUGAGUUUGAGAGGCUCUUUACAGUGGCAUUUGAGUUUUCGCAGUCUGCUUUUCUGUUUUAUUUAAGAAAUACUCCCUCCGUCCCAUUUUAUAUGAUGUACUUUGAUUUGGCACAAACUUUAAGAAAAAUGGAAAGACUUUUAAAACUUGUGGUCCAAAAUGAAUGAUAGAAAUUUGUGUGGUUGUAAAUCAUUUCAUUAAGGGUAAAAAAGACAUUUUAUAGGCAAAUUGUUACUUAAAAUAGAAAUGUGUCAUUCUUUUUGGGACUGACUAAAAAGGAAAGUAAGUCAUAUAAAUUGGGACAGAGGGAGUAUUAUUUAAGACUGGUUUAAGAGUCGCCACUUAAUUUUUAAGAAAAAUCAAGAAAAACUGAUUUUCAAUAGAUUAAAACAGUGAAUCAAUUGAAAAUACUAAAGGGGGUUCGGGGGUUCUUAUAAAUAUUCUAGGAAGGUUUUUAAGGCACCUAGAAUAUCCACUAAUGUGGUUAUCCGACGAUUAACUACUUGGCUAAAAUAAUUGAACUUAAUUUGAUUUGAGCAAUUUUUAUUGUUAGAACCAUAUUAAAGGGAAAUACUUAAAUAUUAUCUAAGUGAGCUAAUUUUUAAAACUUAUUCUUUAAGUCUUGUUGAGUGAUGACUGAUUCAGUUAAAUUGUUAAAUCAAAAUAGGCGUCUUUCGGGGAUUUGAAUUUUUCAACCUUAAGGUUAGCGACAAAUAUUAACAAGCACACAAAUAUAAUAAAAUAAAGAGGGAAAGAGAUUUGGGCCCAAGUUUGGUUUUACUGUCCGCCUGGACCAAUACUUGGGCCCACUUUCGUUUUGGGGUUUUCGGCCCAUUUAAAUAAUCGGUACCUGUCCUAGUCUAACAAGAUAAUAACAAGGGCUUAGGCCCCCAAAAUAACAAAAAUACAAUUCCCGAAACUAAGAGUGGGCCUUUGGGUCCAUUUUCCUUCUUUCGUAUACACUAGAUGUCUACUAGUGUACACAAUCCCAUAUGUCUGCUUCGAAGACCUGUACGCUGAAUUCAUGGAAUUGCUCUUCAAUUCUAUUGGCUGGCCGACUCAAUGAAGGAUUUGAGCAUUUAUGGCUCUCUCGAAGUGAGGGGGAAGGAGAUAGGAGUUCAUAGUGAACUCGGACAUAUUUCACAAGCAAAACGAUAAAUAAGUAACAAAAUUAGCAUCUUCGGGAAGGAAAUGAAGUGAUAAGAUAAAAUAAAUAGAUAAGUAAAAUAACAUGCCAGUCAAUCAUUAACAACACAACGCCUAAACAAUAAUUUAAAAGGAAGACUGAUGAAGACUUGUUCAUUUUUACGUAUCAUGAAUGAGGAGCAGUGAUCAAGUACCAAGCAUUAGAACAAAGGUCAUAUGAGAUGUAAACUAAUAAGCUCUUAAUAAAGAUUAUUACUUAUUACAAGAUUAAAAUAACUACUAUGCAGGUUCAAAACAGAGAAGAAAGAAAUUUUAAUUAUAUAUAUAAUAUAAAAGAGAUAGUGAGCAAAUGUGGCAUCUACUAAAUGUGACUAUUGAAUGUUUAUCUCAAAGCACAAGAAUUGUUAGCUAAGCAAGCCUACAAUCAGUAGUUUAAGUAAAAGGAAAGAAACAUUCAAGUCACCUUUUGAACUUUUAAAAACAAUAUUAUAAACAAGUUAAGGUAGGUAGGAUUUAGUCAAAAUAUUAUUUUUUACAUAAGUGAGCUUUCUAAACAAAUAUAACAAUAAAAAAAAAAUUAGUCAAUGACUCAAAUUUUGCACAAGGGUAUAGCCUAAUACCGACAUUAUUUGGACAACUUUCUUAUUACUGAUUCUAACAUUUACGACACCGAAUUAAGCUAUGUAGAGAAGAAAAAAGGCCGGUGAUCACCAAAGCAAGUAAAAAUAUAUAGCAUCCUUAGCAACUGUUGAGACAUGCUGAAAUUAAAGAAGAAUAAAAGCCAAAAGUAUGGAUGUACAUUCACAGUUUUAUGUAUUCCCAAACUUAUCGAAAUUUGUUAAAAAUAUACAUGAGGCUCACGGAGAUAUCAAAUAGCAAAGUGGGCUGAUCCAUUUAUCCUAAAUGAGUAAACAUACAAAAUGAAUGAACAAAUACGGACUAUGACAUAUUUUACGCAUCCCGUAACCAAGAAAAAGUAGCACGAACUUACUUAAGGCAUGUCAAACUAAUCAAGAUCAAAAUUGUAUACCAUUUGGAACCAAACAACAAAAACAAUUCCCAUAAUUCUGGAAAAAUAAAAAAAAACACAUUCAAACUAGACCUGGACAACAUCUAAAUAAUUAGAGACAAAAUCAGAUAAACAAAAAUGAAAGAAUUAAUCAUACCACAAGACAACCAUAACAAAGUUUAAGCUAUACUAAUCCGGACAAGACUAUUGAUCUAAACUCAAAAAUAAGUGCAGGAAGAGCUAGAUCCUACAAGACUGGUCUAAUGUAAUUUAUGAGGGUCUAUAACAGUGAAUAAAAAAUAAAGAGAAGACAACCAAGACCACAAAUGACCAAUAGAGAAGCAGAACGAGUCAAAAAUUAAGCUACAAAGGGAAUAAUUUAAAGACUCAUAUUUAAACUAACACAUGCUUCCAUACAUGAGUAAUUUAAUCAAAAUAAGUUAGAACAAAAUGAAACCAAAGAAACUCCGCAGCAACAAGUUUAUCACACAACAUUUAAAACAUAAACAAAGCGCGGAAGAGGGAAGAGAUAUUACCUUUUCCGGGCAGCGAAACUGAGACAAGAACGAGCUUGGAGCGACUUCAACACAACCUUGAACUCGAGCACCAGACCAAAGAAAAGAUCGAGUCGACCUCGAACGAGAACUUCUCGUAUCCUUAAGACUAGGGAACCGUCUAAGACUUCUCAAGUGUAAAUUUAUUCCAAGAAAUCCAACCCCCAAAUCCCUUCCUUUUUUUUUUUUUUUAACAUAUGAAAAAAGAGCCACCUUUAUAGGUAAAAACUCCAGCAGAAAAUGGGGGGAAACGGAUGAAAAAAACGGGCAGAGAUCCCCCAUCCCCAAUUCAAACUUCAAAAUUUAUUCACAAACUUAGAGAGACAACAUUUUUUCAAAAUUUCGCCCCAUUCCCAAAGAGGAAAAAGGGAGAAACGCGUGCUGCUGCGACAUUAAUGUGGAUAGGGACGUCUGAAGAAGAAGCCAAAUCUGUAGUGUACGUCUCUCUGCUCCUCGCUACUUUUCGUCUGAUCGCUCUGUAUUUUUUGUUAUGAACGUUGGGGCUGCUGGGUUUGUAUUGUGAAGGAAAAGGGGAGGUGGGCCGGGUUAAAGGGGGGAAUUGUGGGUUGAGGCGGUAGGGUGAGAAAUAAAAGAAAGGAAAAGGGAAUUGGGGAAAUUACGGUCGGUCAGGUAUUGUUGUUGUUGUCAAGUUGUAUUGUAUGUAGUGUUACAUGUGGGUGGGUUUUGGUAUUAAAUUUGGGCUGGGAAUUAUGGAAUUGCUGAUGGGUUUAAAGAAGGGAUGGAUUGUUGGUAUUAUAUUCUGGGAAUGGGUAUUUGGAAUCAGAUAAAUACAAUGGGUUAUGGGAGUUGGCAAAAUGGCCUGAUUUGGUCUAAAAGAAAAGAGUUCUAUCGGAUUUAACAAUUAGCCAACUUUGAUAAACUAGUGAAUUCGACUAAAAAUUAAAUAAGACGAAUUAAUAUAAUUAACUAACGAGCUUCUUAAUCUUAACGAAAUAAAAUAAUCAACUUAAUUAUUAGUCAAUUUGAAUAACUCAAAAUUAUGACUAUAAAUACUACCAAACUAUAUUAAUAAAAUAUUCAUUUUAACAAAGUAGAAAUCUUUUGAAUAUGAUUUUUAAAUAUUAUAAAAUGUACUAAUCAUAUAUGUAAUUAUAUGAAAUAUAUUUAUCAUUCAAAAUGCUAUAAAAGUCGAUUGAAAUUAUUCAACUAACCUUGAAAUUAUUUAAAUUUUGUAAAGCUAAUUAUUCUAAAUCAUUUAGAAUUUAAGAAGCUCGAUGAUUAAUUUAUAUUGUGGAGGUCCAAAAAUUGGGUGUCAACACUUGCCUUCUUGACCAUGUAGUCUACUAGCUCAUUAGUGAGAGACACUGUGGCCAAGGUCUCGAUGCAACAUAUGUUUGUCGAUGUCUGAGGAAUGCGUCCAUCAAAAGAUGCAACAGGUUCAACAUGUACAUGCUUUAGCCUUGGCAUAUUCCAGAUGGUCAUCGGUAAAAUUGUGCCACUGCCUACUGUUAUUACAAGCAAUACCUCUAGGUUUGAAAGGUUCGAUAUCCAUAAUGGCAUAGAUACCAUAUAGCCUUUGAUUCCUAAGUACUUCAAAUGGAUCAGCUCUUUUGAUCUCUGGAAUGAACUCUCCGACAUAGUACAUUCCAUUUGUAGUACUCUUAAUAGUUUAAAGUUCUCAAGAUCAAGAAAUUCCUGGCAGCCAGAUUUCGGGGGUCUGAAGAAUGCAGAUCGAACUUGCAUGUUUCCAAUCUUCCCUGCCCAAUAAAGGCUAUGAUGAAUGCAAAGCCUCCGGUGCUCAUAAAAGGAACUAGACAAAUCAGUCUUCCCGGUGCUUGUUAGUUGCAUAAACUUCUCUUCCUUAGACUUUGUCACGCAAAAAUCAUGUAACAUAUCAUGAAUGCGGCAUGUUCUGACUCCUCCAGUGGACUUUCUCUUGCUCACCAUUAUCAAGCUUCUACCGAUGAGAUCAUUCAGUAAAAUUUUUGCAUCGAGCCCUAUGUUUGGCACCAAUCCCUCGAUAGUCCAUAACCAUGCCAAGUUUGAGAGUGGAAUUUCUUCAUCCUCCUGAAAUGAUGCAAAAUAUAGAAAGCAGGGUUUGAGAUGAUCUGGCAUGUGCUUGUAGCUCAGUUCUAUAACCUCCAUGCACUCUUUUGCACUAGUAACAGUAUCUAACUUUAUACUUUCUGCGAUUCUUCUCCAACUUUCCUCAUUUUCGCUUAUCCCAGACAAAACUCCAGCAACCAAAAUCACAAGGAGAGGUAGUCCUUUACACUUACUUGCGAUGUUUGCUCCUACUUUUGAUAGGUCAGGCGGGCAAGUUUGUUCCUUGAACAGCUUGAUUCUCAUUAGUUCCCAACUUUCAUUUUCGUCAAGGAAACGAAGGUGAAGAGGUGCUCUAUCAGGUUUAAUUUUUGAAGCCACAUCGCUGAGUCUGCUAGUUAAUAAAAUCCUGCUUCCGUUAUUAUCAUCCGGUAAGCAUCUUCUCAAGUAUUUCCAUGUCUCAACACUCCAUAUGUCAUCAAUGUAGAGAAGGUACUUCUUUCUUAACAGAAAUUUCCGCAAAGCAUCUUCUGGAUUUUUCUCAUUCUGUUGGUUAGAGCCUUUGACUUGAUUCAAAAUUCCGAGCGGCAACUUUCUUCUGUCAUAAGUUUGGGAAACACAACACAUAGCUUGGAUGUCAAAAUGACGCUGCAUUUUCUCAUCAUGAAAAACUUUCUUUGCUAGUGUAGUUUUUCCAAGACCAGGCAUCCCUACGAUAGACACAACAUCCAAGUUCUUUGGUCCUAUAGUGAGCUGUUCGAUUAGCAAGUCAGUCUCAUCCUUAAAACCCACCAUUACCUCAUCAAGUUGUGUAGUCUCAACUACUUGUCUGACAGGAUUUGGUGUUUGUUCUUCAAUAGGGCCUUCAACUUCUUGCGUAAUCGUAGCAUGGAACUCUUUCAAAUGAUCCCUUACAACCUUAGUUUCUGUUGUGAUCUUACAUAACAAAUGUAGAUACCAAACAGGAUAAUCUCCGGUAACCAGGCAAUCAAUUAUGCAUUCUGCCUGGUAUGCUAGAGAUAUGACUUCUGUCCAUAGAUCAUGUUUCUUCACCUCCUCAAACUCAUGUUUUUUCUUCUCAACUUCCUUCAAGAAGUAUCUUAAGAGAUAUAACUCUUCCCGAGCUUCUUCAAUAUGAUGCUUGACAACAGAAUCACACUUUCCGUCUUGCAGCAGCUCUUUNNNNNNNNNNNNNNNNNNNNNNNNNNNNNNNNNNNNNNNNNNNNNNNNNNNNNNNNNNNNNNNNNNNNNNNNNNNNNNNNNNNNNNNNNNNNNNNNNNNNNNNNNNNNNNNNNNNNNNNNNNNNNNNNNNNNNNNNNNNNNNNNNNNNNNNNNNNNNNNNNNNNNNNNNNNNNNNNNNNNNNNNNNNNNNNNNNNNNNNNNNNNNNNNNNNNNNNNNNNNNNNNNNNNNNNNNNNNNNNNNNNNNNNNNNNNNNNNNNNNNNNNNNNNNNNNNNNNNNNNNNNNNNNNNNNNNNNNNNNNNNNNNNNNNNNNNNNNNNNNNNNNNNNNNNNNNNNNNNNNNNNNNNNNNNNNNNNNNNNNNNNNNNNNNNNNNNNNNNNNNNNNNNNNNNNNNNNNNNNNNNNNNNNNNNNNNNNNNNNNNNNNNNNNNNNNNNNNNNNNNNNNNNNNNNNNNNNNNNNNNNNNNNNNNNNNNNNNNNNNNNNNNNNNNNNNNNNNNNNNNNNGCAUUUUCUCAUCAUGAAAAACUUUCUUUGCUAGUGUAGUUUUUCCAAGACCAGGCAUCCCUACGAUAGACACAACAUCCAAGUUCUUUGGUCCUAUAGUGAGCUGUUCGAUUAGCAAGUCAGUCUCAUCCUUAAAACCCACCAUUACCUCAUCAAGUUGUGUAGUCUCAACUACUUGUCUGACAGGAUUUGGUGUUUGUUCUUCAAUAGGGCCUUCAACUUCUUGCGUAAUCGUAGCAUGGAACUCUUUCAAAUGAUCCCUUACAACCUUAGUUUCUGUUGUGAUCUUACAUAACAAAUGUAGAUACCAAACAGGAUAAUCUCCGGUAACCAGGCAAUCAAUUAUGCAUUCUGCCUGGUAUGCUAGAGAUAUGACUUCUGUCCAUAGAUCAUGUUUCUUCACCUCCUCAAACUCAUGUUUUUUCUUCUCAACUUCCUUCAAGAAGUAUCUUAAGAGAUAUAACUCUUCCCGAGCUUCUUCAAUAUGAUGCUUGACAACAGAAUCACACUUUCCGUCUUGCAGCAGCUCUUUUAGAUAGCGUAAGAGGGAAUCGAUGAACCCCAAUCCAUUUGUCCUAGGAAAAUUACAUUUUGAUGACACUACAUCUUUCAAAAUCACAUCUUUUAGAUCUUCCAUGACAUGCUCAAUCUUUUUUAACAAGUCACUGAAUACCGAGUUAACUUCUGCUGCUUUGUCAACGGAGAAAGAGAAAGCAGCAGAUACUACCUCAGCAAUCAGACCUUCAAUGCAAGUAAGUUUGUCACUCAUUUUUUCCUGGAUAACAUAUAAAUCUUCAGGUGGAGAAAUGAGCAAAGUUAUCAAUUGCUUUGAUGCUUCGGCAAGGCUUUUGAUUUGAUCCUUUUUAAGAGGAAGCAUCAAAGAACAUGCCUCACCGUCUGAUAACUCCAACAAAUCCUUGAAGAUGAAAUGAACAAAACCUUCAACAAAUUCUAUCACAUCCCGGCUGUAUUGGAUUUGCAAUUUAACUGAACCUCUUAGAGCUCCAGUAUAGAUUUCUGCAACGUCCGGAUCAAUGGGCUUGAUAUCUUUCAAAACAUGAGAGAUUUGUAGUGUCAACACAGAUGCUGAAUCUCCAUCCAUUUCUUCCACAUAACAAAGGUAACAUAUGUAUGCAGCAUUCACUGUGAUGCCCUCUAUAUGAUUAAAAAGAAUGUUGGAUUUCUCUAGCUCCAUGCUUGCAUCUUUUAUGAAAUUGAGGAAGGUUUUUAGAUAUUUUAGACUUUCUUCAAGGACUUGAAACUCUUUCUUCAGAAGUACAAACUUGUCGAAAUCUUUCUUGUUGAUGAGAAGAUCCUUCACAUUCUGAAGGAUGUGCUCAAUGAAUUUCUGAAACACUGGGCUGCAUAAAUUUGGUAAAGGCCACCUCCCUGGAACCAAUGAAAGGAGAAACUCAUAACCUUCUUUGACUUCAGCAGAAGAUAAGUCUGCCCUUGGUCCCGAGACAGUGUCACCGACUUGCAUUCCAUGUCCGCGCAAUCUCCCCUCCUUAAUCCUUCCUUUUUGAGUUGCCCAAAACAAAAAAGUACCAAGAAAUCUCCUCUCUAUUUCAGACAUUUGUUUUCCAGCAGAAUUUCCUCAGAGUGGAUAUAUGUCGACAGCUCUGCAAGCAAAGAGAUUAAAAGCAAAUCACAUUCUAGGACAAACAAGAAAUUAACACAAAAUUCCUUUAUAUGUUGAUUGCACUCUUCCUCUUGUAUCAGAACAUUAUGCUUGAUUGUAACUAACAAACAGAUAAUAUUUAAGAAAAAGAUGUGUGUGAUCACAAAUAACAAAAACUGUUUGGUUGCACUAAAUGUUUUCUGGAAAAUGUGAAGUUAUAUCUGAAAGUCACAAUGCAUACUCUUAACUCUACACAACUAGGGGAAUGGGGAAAAAAGUCACCAGGAAAAACAAUAACAGAAAAAGAACUGGUUCCAAAGAGUUCUGAUUGUCUACUACUUACUUUUGCCUAAACUAGUUACCCUUUGUUAAUCCAAGCAAGUGAAAUUGUACUGAUACUAGGGUCAACCUUCAAUAUUUCCUAGCGAAUUGUCACGAUUUGUUUUUUUGAUGCUCAGGACAAAAUAAUGACUUCAUAUAUCAAUGCUACUUAUGUGAUUUUGAUUGUCAGGAAGUUUGCUUCAAAAUAGUUAUUACUAUAUAAAUAUUGUCUUUUUGUUUUUCUUAUUUACUAUUUCUUAAUAUUUUCAGUAUUUUAGACGAAGAAAGGUUCAUAUGACUUGUAAUAACGCUAGUUGUAAGUUUGUAUUAGUUUAAUACUUAUUAUUUAUUUAAUAGCUAAUUUUUAUGCUAUAAAUAUUUUUAUUAAUGCAAAUCUCUCUCUCUCUCUCUAAAUAUAUAUAUAUAUAUAUAUUUGGGUAGAUAUUUGUAUUUAAAUUAAUGUAUUAUAUAUGUCACGACUCACAAAUGUAUUAUCAAGUUAACAAAAUCUUCUAACUUCAAUAUAUAUUAUUUUAAAAUGUUCCGAGUUCUUUUUUUAAAAAAAAAAACUCACAACAAAUGUGAAAAUAUGUGAACAUAUAUGAAUCAUUUAAAAUUUAUCAUUUACAAAGUACAUUUUUUAUUCAGUAAUAUGGAAUAAACAUUUUCAUUUUUCCCUACACUAAAUUAAAAUCUAAUAACUAUAAAAAAAUAGUAACAUUAAUUAAAAUCCUAUUUAUUUAUGUAAGUAUAUAAUCUAUUAGAAAUUCAGCUAUUGCACAUUAAUUCUUUAGUUAUAACAUUAUAAAUUCUCUUCGUUAUUACCAAUUAUUGCAAACGUUAUUCACACUCUUUUACAUUCUUUAGUUAUAGUAUUGUGAAUUCUCAUAGUUAUUACAUUAAUUAUUUCUAUCUUUCAUCUUUCCUUAUAUUAACUGUUGACCAAUAAUUUUUUAUAUUAUUAUACAACCCCUAUAUAUGUGAUAACACGGUGUUAUUUUUCCUUGGAUGAAUUAUGCUUAGUUGAAUAAAUUGAAAAUCGUUUACAAGUAUAUGAACUAUAUCUUUGUUGGGUGUAAGAUAAACAUGUGAUUAUAUAUAUGAUUUCACAGAUAGAAUAUAUUCUUUAAUUUUAAUUUUUAGUUUUACCGGUAAAAAAAAGGAAACUUUUCUCAGUUAACUAUGGACAGUCAGAUAACUAUCUUUGAUUUAUGUACACAAUCAAUCGAGAAGUCAAAUAUGAGAACCAACAACAAGAACGUCAGCUAUUAUGCUAUAACUUAUAAAAUAAAAAUUAAUAUACAAAAAUAGUUCUAAAAAAUAAAAUUUUGUUGUUUUCUUCACAUGUUCAUAUGACAUCUAAACAGUUUAACAUGGAAUACAUGUGCAAAACACAUCUAGUUUGACAAGAAAAUACACAACAAAUAUCGUUUAUAAGGUAAUAUUAGUGAGAUACGACUAAUUACAUGAUUAAACCUCAUCAAAUUAAAAUAAAUAUAUACAUUAUUGCAUUUAACAAGUUAGUCAGAAAUAGCUCUAAGGUCACGACUCGGUAUCAUAUUAGAUCAUUGACAUCCCACAUUACCUUUUCAUUACUACUAAAUACCAACUGCCUAUAUAGAAAAUUAGUUCACAGCCCUGCUUUUCGCCAACUUCAGAAUUUUGGAAAUAGAAAGGAGAGUUGACCUUACCUUAAUCAACGGAGUAUAUAAUAUUGAUCUUGGAGAAGUGUCUACGAAAUUUACCUUUUCGUAUGGUAGGAAAGAUGGUUUUUCUAUAUAUAUGUUCAUUUUUUCUUACACAACUCCAUAGCAGCCGUUUCUCUCUCUAAUUAGAUCAUUGAAAUAUCUCAUGAUUUACGGAAGAAAGUCCUCAUUUGCUGCUACCAAUUUCACCACUUUGUCAAACAUCAGUUAAUUGGCAAAGAAAAGUCAAAUAAGACAAAGUUAAACAUUAUUCUUGUCAUUGAUUUCACUCAUGAUAUUAUUAGUAUAGAAAGCAGAAUGAGGUAUACCAGUCGUAUAAAAAAAUAGUCUGGUAAGAAAAAUAGAGCGUUAGCGAUCAUCUGUUAUCGGAACUAGCAAUAUGGAUCCUAACUCAUUAGCUCUUAAGCUAGCCAACUUGUAUAGGUGUUUCAGUACUAAUUCCCAUUUGACAGAGAAUUUAAACUUGUUUGUUGAAUUAAUCCAACAUAUUGACGCUGAAGCAAUAGUCCAUUACAUUGAUAUAUUACACCCUAUGUUCCUAAACACGUUGAAUGAUUCCCUGGUUAAUCUAGACGUGAAGAUCACUGCCCUGACGGCGAUGAGUAACUUCAUUCAACGGGUGGGGAGUUCAAAAGAUAGGGAGAGGUUUCAGGAUCUGUUGCCUGCGAUGAUGGACUUGCUGAAUGAGGCAUUGGAUAAAAAAUGUGAGGCAUCAGCGCAGUCUGAGUUCGAGAUUUUGAUCGAGUUGGCCAAGAAUGAGCCUAGCUUCUUCAGGAUGCAGCUUGUGGUUGUGGUGGGCUCCAUGUUUGAUAUAGCUGAAUGUGAGAGUUAUGAAAAGAAAACGAGACAUUUGGCGGUUGAAUUCG
Molecule: long non-coding RNA, 36650 nt
Filed under: Solanum tuberosum (potato)
Lineage: Eukaryota; Viridiplantae; Streptophyta; Magnoliopsida; Solanales; Solanaceae
Description: long non-coding RNA (STUB_LNC001196)
Source: RNAcentral